GAGUAUUGGUUUAUCUGGCUGUGGAGCGCCUCAUCAGCAAUGACUACACCAUCGAGGGCACUGUAAUGCUCAUCACCUCUGGUUGUGCUGUGUUGGCUAAUAUUGUGGGUCUCAGCUCGCAUGGACAUGGCCACAGUCACAAAAAAGGACACGAUCAGAUCUCAAACCAAACCCACUUGAAUGAUGAACGCAUAGACCUGGAGAAAAACAAGGUCUUUCAUGGACAGAAGGCUCAGCCACCCAGUUCCAGUAUGUAAGCGGCCUUUGUCCACGGGGUGGGAGAUCUUCUUCAGAGCAUCAGCACGCUCUCAGCGCCAUCAUUAUCUUCUUCAACGUUAGAAGUAUGUCUAAAAGUACUGUCUGCACACGUAGCUAU
Scatophagus argus is the source of this 376-nucleotide long non-coding RNA. RefSeq lists it as uncharacterized. The transcript has 3 exons. NCBI's taxonomy places the organism in Eukaryota, Metazoa, Chordata, Actinopteri, Scatophagidae. The record is from RefSeq and is a predicted model, not a curated record.